GACGGAGGGUGCUAGCGUUGUUCGGAAUUACUGGGCGUAAAGGGCGCGUAGGCGGCCUGAUCAGUCGGGGGUGAAAGCCUGUGGCUCAACCACAGAAUGGCCUUCGAUACUGUCGGGCUUGAGACCGGAAGAGGUAAGUGGAACUGCGAGUGUAGAGGUGAAAUUCGUAGAUAUUCGCAAGAACACCAGUGGCGAAGGCGGCUUUCUGGUCCGAUUCUGACGCUGAGGCGCGAAAGCGUGGGGAGCAAACAGG
This 253-nucleotide ribosomal RNA is filed under the name uncultured bacterium. Its description in RNAcentral is "partial 16S ribosomal RNA". It matches the Rfam family "Bacterial small subunit ribosomal RNA", at positions 524 to 776 of the family's 1533-position model. The record is from RNAcentral.